Molecule: non-coding RNA, 542 nt
Organism: Pelobates cultripes (western spadefoot toad)
Lineage: Eukaryota; Metazoa; Chordata; Amphibia; Anura; Pelobatidae
Source: the annotation of a GenBank genome assembly
ACCUUCUCUUCCUGCAUACCCCAUUAUUUGUGUGACCCAAUCCUAUCACUCUCAUCUCUCCAGGGCCCAGCACAUGGCCUGCCCCUCUCUUACCUGCCCCCUGGAGGCUCAGGAUCAAACAUGCAGCCAGGAGCCACAAGUUGGAGCUAGUCUUGCUGUUUGCAGUAUUCAUGGUCUGACUGUAGACGGUUGUUGGUGCUCUGUCCGCUGCGGCCCUCGCUGUACGUAGACGGUUGUUGGUGCUCUGUCCGCUGCGGCCCUCGCUGUACGUAGAUGGGUUAGUAAUGUUCUGUGCUGGGCUAUGCUGCUUGGUUUAUAUAGUCCCAUCAUUGUAACUCCGAUUUACAGAGAGUGAGUGAACAUCUUAUUCACAGCAUUCCAGCUUUGUGAGCGAGCAGGUAAUGAGAUGCUCUGUGUAAUCACCGGGGUGGAGUGUCCUUCAUAACACGCUCUGCGUCUCCAUAACCAGUUUUAAAGGUUUAUUAAACCAAUUAUAAAAAUAAACAUGUCACAGGCGGUUACUUCACAGAAAAUGAUCCCUC